CAAAGGUGGGGGAGACAAAAAGACAAGGAAGUCUGUCUAACGGGGCUGUUGGACCGUCUUCUUUUAUUUUGCGUUUGUAGAUGAAUUUCCGCCAGGAAUAAAUACCUGCAGGUGCCUUUUAUCCGAGCGUGCGUGCGUAUAUAAUGGUUCGGCCACGAGAGACUGGCAGCGCCCACACAGGACAAUUGGUAAACGAUGCAUCUCGGGCGCAGAAAAAAAACUGUGACCGUGGCGAAAGGCUGAGAACGUUAUAUUGGCUCAUGGCGUGCGCAGUGCCCGCAGUUUCAACGCGCCCCGUGGCGCUUGCUUGCCGGCGGAGUCUGACCGCUGCAAGCGAAAGGACCGGUGACGGCGAAGCCGAGUGGCCGUCGCGGAAUGACGCCACUGCUACUCACAGCGCAGACUACUGAGAAGGUGCUUCGUCCGUGCUACACCCGACAGAAUUCCAGAUGAGUUCCUGCCUCUGCCGCCCGCGAGCAGCCAGGCUAUGGACUGUCCCUUCUGGGACAAUUAAGUUCCAGAAGUCACUGCGGUUCCUGCAUGAGUCAGGCCUGUACUCGCUUUGACGACAUGCUCUGGCGAAUAGUGAAAAGGAAACUAAAAAAGAAAAUGCCAAUCCAACGCAUUUCUUGGAGCCUAAAUACCGCGAAGCUUUGGUAUGGUUUAUAAAGCAUUGUUUGAAAUGCGAUGAUCUGCGUUUUCUCCACGAAAAUGCAAUGUCACUUUCAAGGUCACACGCAGUGUCCAUUCGAGAAAUCAGUGCGUUGUAUUGCUUAGUCGAACGCAGAGACAUGAAACAGUUAAAUGCAGUGUGCAAUGUGGUGUCCUGAAAGGUACAAGUGGUGUUCUUUUGCCAUCACAGAACGGAUGCUUUGAAGUCAGUCUAUAUGCACUUUUUAGUUCAAUGUACG
Dermacentor albipictus is the source of this 911-nucleotide long non-coding RNA. RefSeq lists it as uncharacterized. The record is from RefSeq and is a predicted model, not a curated record. NCBI's taxonomy places the organism in Eukaryota, Metazoa, Arthropoda, Arachnida, Ixodida, Ixodidae.